Long non-coding RNA from Lathyrus oleraceus (garden pea), 807 nucleotides. RefSeq lists it as uncharacterized. The transcript has 3 exons. The record is from RefSeq and is a predicted model, not a curated record. NCBI's taxonomy places the organism in Eukaryota, Viridiplantae, Streptophyta, Magnoliopsida, Fabales, Fabaceae.
UUAAGCUCAGGUAUAUAAACCAAAACACUCUCUAAUCAUAACAGAAUUUCAUUUCACCAAAAUUCAGAUCUAAAAACUCUCCAAUUCUCUCACAUUUUCUCAAGAACAUUCAAGAACACAUCACACAAAAACCACAAAAACUCUUCCAAUUCUUGAUGAAAUUCGGAAAUUCUUGUUGAUCCAAUCUUCAUUCCACUUCUUCUUCUACUGUUUUGACAAAGCAACUUCCAAAUCCUCAAGAUUCACAACUGUCCAAAGAAUGCUCAACAAUGGUGAAUUGGAAUUUCUCAUGAUUGGAGCAAAUUCGAGCUAGGCUAACACCUCCAUUCAUCUUCCCUAUCAUCAAGCUUGGACUGUUUUGAAGAAUCACAUCCAAAUUCAUCACGAAUCGCAACUGUCGGCAAACAAAGGUACUUUAGUUGCUCAGUUCCUUGUGAACUAUUGCUUUGCUUUGCUUAAGCAACUUGCAUAGAGGGGGAUAAGCAUAUGCAACUUUGAAGCUAUGAUGCAUGUAUUUAGGGGGAGCCUUCAUGAAGACACAAAACACACAUUGUCUCGAGUUUUGUCAUCAUAAAAAAUAGGGAGUAUGUGAGUGCAACUUUUCGAUUAGAUGUAUUUUGUAUGAUAUCAAAACUAGGAUACUUUAGCGUUUAUGUAUAUUGGACAAUAUCCUCUAAGUUUAAAUGUGCAUCUUAGCAUUAAGAAUCAUAACAACAUGUUAGAAAAGGUUUAGAGAAGAAUCAUGCAUCAAAGAAAAUGUUUCAUGCAUCAAAAACUGAUUUUUAUGUGAAAAACAACAAUGUGUCG